RNAcentral lists this non-coding RNA (114 nucleotides) under marine bacterium AO1-C. Its description in RNAcentral is "SAM riboswitch aptamer (S box leader)". It matches the Rfam family "SAM riboswitch aptamer (S box leader)". From Rfam's summary of the family: The SAM riboswitch is found upstream of a number of genes which code for proteins involved in methionine or cysteine biosynthesis in Gram-positive bacteria. The SAM riboswitch acts at the level of transcription termination control. The predicted structure consists of a complex stem-loop region followed by a single stem loop terminator region. RNAcentral also lists the same sequence under 1 other name. Lineage: Bacteria; Pseudomonadati; Bacteroidota; Cytophagia; Cytophagales; Cytophagaceae. The record is from Rfam by way of RNAcentral.
GAUUUAUUAAGAAGAGGUGAGAGAACAGGCUCUAAGACCCUCUGGCAACCAUCAUCAACAUCUGAGAAAGGUGCCAAUUCCUGCCCCGAGUCAUUUUAAUGGGAAAAAUAAAUU